This is a long non-coding RNA of Nerophis ophidion (straightnose pipefish), 717 nucleotides long. RefSeq lists it as uncharacterized. The transcript is spliced from 3 exons. The record is from RefSeq and is a predicted model, not a curated record. NCBI's taxonomy places the organism in Eukaryota, Metazoa, Chordata, Actinopteri, Syngnathiformes, Syngnathidae.
GUUUUCAAGCUCGGUUGGCUCACAGAGGCCCGAAAGCCCCGGGCUGGUUAAAAAUAACAAACAAAAAUGUCUACAUCCUUCUUCAACAACACCUUCUUCAAACACAGCACGUUUAAAGCCAAACAUUCCGUGAAGGUGUAAGGGAAAACACAACAAGAGCGCCGGUGGAAACAAGUCCAAUGAAGACACUACUUACCCAGAAAUGUUCUAUAAAGUACGGCGUUAUCAUCUUGUUGACGCCAACUCUUUGGCAGUUUGCUGCGUGGAAAGUUGACGAGGGAAAUUCAUCCAGCGGCGACCUCCCUUCGUGUUCUGCCCCCGGUAAGCCUUCUUUCUCUCUCUCUCUCUCGCUCACUCUCCCCCUUUCUUCUUCGCCUUCCUCCGCCCCGCCGACGGUGACGACAAACUCCACCUCCCUCCGCCCCGGCCGUGUCUCCGCCGGGGUUUAUUCCCGGCGAGAAGCAAGCCGCUUGUGCGGGGAGAAACAGCGCUGCCAAUGGCGGACGGCCAGGAAGGCAAGGCGGGUUGCCUGACGCCGAAUGACGAGUUUCACAAAUUCCUCAUUAAACUCACCAAGACGUCACCGUGGAGUUAUUGAGUCUGGCCCAUGAAGAUGACUUCUGUUUUGUUUGAUUGACCGUUUUACUGCCGUGUUACAGACAAUUAAGAUGACCAGAAAACAAAUAGUUUUGGACAGCCAGGUAAAUGCCUACAAGU